UAUUGGUCAAUGGACGAGAGUCUGAACCAGCCAAGUAGCGUGCAGGAUGACGGCCCUAUGGGUUGUAAACUGCUUUUAUAGGGGGAUAAAGUGUGCCACGUGUGGCAUAUUGCAGGUACCCUAUGAAUAAGGACCGGCUAAUUCCGUGCCAGCAGCCGCGGUAAUACGGAAGGUCCGGGCGUUAUCCGGAUUUAUUGGGUUUAAAGGGAGCGUAGGCCGUCUUAUAAGCGUGUUGUGAAACGUCGGGGCUCAACCUGGGCAUUGCAGCGCGAACUGUGAGACUUGAGUGCGCAGGAAGUAGGCGGAAUUCGUCGUGUAGCGGUGAAAUGCUUAGAUAUGACGAAGAACUCCGAUUGCGAAGGCAGCCUGCUGUAGCGCAACUGACGCUGAAGCUCGAAAGCGUGGGUAUCGAACAGG
Molecule: ribosomal RNA, 417 nt
Filed under: uncultured bacterium
Lineage: Bacteria
Description: bacterial SSU rRNA
Rfam family: Bacterial small subunit ribosomal RNA
Source: RNAcentral